GUUUCAGCCGCCGCGGUAAUACGGAGGGGGCUAGCGUUGUUCGGAAUUACUGGGCGUAAAGCGCACGUAGGCGGUCGCGCAUGUCAGAUGUGAAAGCCCCGGGCUUAACCUGGGAAUUGCAUUUGAAACUGCGCAGCUAGAGGCCGGAAGAGGGUAGUGGAAUUCCCAGUGUAGAGGUGAAAUUCGUAGAUAUUGGGAAGAACACCAGUGGCGAAGGCGGCUACCUGGUCCGGUUCUGACGCUGAGGUGCGAAAGCGUGGGGAGCAAACAGGAUUAGAUACCCCCGUAGUCC
This 292-nucleotide ribosomal RNA is filed under the name uncultured bacterium. RNAcentral's name for it is "partial 16S ribosomal RNA". It matches the Rfam family "Bacterial small subunit ribosomal RNA", at positions 505 to 796 of the family's 1533-position model. The record is from RNAcentral.